UGAAUACGAGAUGCUACGGCAUUGAAGCAGUGUAUGUCAGACUUCCAAGAAAAGCUCGCAAUGUCAUAAACAAUAAAUGCCUGUACCAUAACCGACACAGGUGGGUAGGUAGAGUAUACUAAGGGGCGCGAGAUAACUCUCUCUAAGGAACUCGGCAAAAUGACUCCGUAACUUCGGGAGAAGGAGUGCCUUAUUUUAUAAGGUUGCAAUAACAAGAUCCAAGCAACUGUUUACCAAAAACACAGGUCUCCGCUAAGUCGAAAGACGAUGUAUGGGGGCUGACGCCUGCCCAGUGCCAGAAGGUUAAAGAAGUUGGUUAGCUUCGGCGAAGCUGAUGACUGAAGCCCUGGUGAACGGCGGCCGUAACAAUAACGGUCCUAAGGUAGCGAAAUUCCUUGUCGGGUAAGUUCCGACCCGCACGAAAGGCGUAAUGAUUUGGAUACUGUCUCGGAGAGGGGCUCGGUGAAAUAGACUUGUCUGUGAAGAUGCGGACUACCUGCACCUGGACAGAAAGACCCUAUGAAGCUUUACUGUAACUUGAGAUUGAAAUUGGACUUUAUUUGCGCAGUAUAGGUGGGAGACGUUGAGAAUAUUCUUGCGGGAAUAUUGGAGUCAUCAGUGAGAUACCACUCUUGUAAUGUUAGAUUUCUAACUUUGUAUCAUUAUCUGGUCAAAGGACAGUUUCAGGCGGGCAGUUUGACUGGGGCGGUCGCCUCCUAAACGGUAACGGAGGCGCACAAAGGUUUCCUCUGAACGUGUAGAAAUCGUAUCUAGAGUGUAAAGGCAUAAGGAAGCUUGACUGUGAGACCUACAAGUCGAGCAGGGACGAAAGUCGGUCUUAGUGAUCUGACGGUGCUGAGUGGAAAGGCCGUCACUCAACGGAUAAAAGUUACUCUAGGAUAACAGGCUGAUCUCCCCCAAGAGUUCACAUCGACGGGGAGGUUUGGCACCUCGAUGUCGGCUCAUCGCAUCCUGGGGCGGUAGUACGUCCCAAGGGUUGGGCUGUUCGCCCAUGAAAGCGGUACGCGAGCUGGGUUCAGAACGUCGUGAGACAGUUCGGUCCGUAUCCGGUGUAGGCGUUAGAAUAUUGAGAGGAGCCUUCUUUAGUACGAGAGGACCGAGAAGGACAUACCUCUGGUGUACCAGUUAUCGUGCCAACGGUAAACGCUGGGUAGCUAUGUAUGGAGUGGAUAACCGCUGAAAGCAUCUAAGUGGGAAGCCCACCUCAAGAUAAGUAUUCUC
This 1242-nucleotide ribosomal RNA is filed under the name metagenome. RNAcentral describes it as "bacterial LSU rRNA". It matches the Rfam family "Bacterial large subunit ribosomal RNA", at positions 1564 to 2815 of the family's 2925-position model. The record is from RNAcentral.